GCCUGAUUGGCUCAGUCAGUUGAGCGUGCAACUUUUGAUCUCAGGGUCAUGAGUUCGAGCCCCAUGUUGGGUG
Molecule: transfer RNA, 73 nt
Filed under: Mustela putorius furo (domestic ferret)
Lineage: Eukaryota; Metazoa; Chordata; Mammalia; Carnivora; Mustelidae
Also listed under: 1 other name
Rfam family: tRNA
About the family: Transfer RNA (tRNA) molecules are approximately 80 nucleotides in length.
Source: Rfam by way of RNAcentral